CCCGCCUUAGCUCAGCUGGGAGAGCGCGAGACUGUAAUGGCUCCCUGAUAUCUUGAGGUCCUCCGUUCGAUCCGGGGAGGCGGGA
Mycena latifolia is the source of this 85-nucleotide non-coding RNA. The record is from the annotation of a GenBank genome assembly. NCBI's taxonomy places the organism in Eukaryota, Fungi, Basidiomycota, Agaricomycetes, Agaricales, Mycenaceae.